This 486-nucleotide ribosomal RNA is filed under the name uncultured bacterium. RNAcentral's name for it is "bacterial SSU rRNA". It matches the Rfam family "Bacterial small subunit ribosomal RNA", at positions 996 to 1482 of the family's 1533-position model. The record is from RNAcentral.
AUCCGGCGAAAGCCGGCUCCCGCAAGGGCAGUUGCCGAGGUGCUGCAUGGCUGUNGUCAGCUCGUGUCGUGAGAUGUUGGGUUAAGUCCCGCAACGAGCGCAACCCUUGUCCGCUGUUGCCAUCAGGUUAAGCUGGGCACUCUGCGGAGACUGCCGGUGAUAAACCGGAGGAAGGUGGGGAUGACGUCAAGUCAGCAUGGCCUUUAUGUCUGGGGCUACACACGUGCUACAAUGGCAGAUACAAACCGUCGCGAGACCGCAAGGUGGAGCUAAUCGGAGAAAGUCUGUCUCAGUUCGGAUUGCAGGCUGCAACUCGCCUGCAUGAAGUUGGAAUCGCUAGUAAUCGCGGAUCAGCACGCCGCGGUGAAUACGUUCCCGGGCCUUGUACACACCGCCCGUCACAUCACGAAAGCUGGCUGUACUAGAAGUCGCCGCGCUAACCCGCAAGGGAGGCAAGCGCCUAAGGUACGGUUAGUGAUUGGGGUG